RNAcentral lists this transfer RNA (71 nucleotides) under Candidatus Nomurabacteria bacterium. Its description in RNAcentral is "tRNA-Gly". It matches the Rfam family "tRNA". From Rfam's summary of the family: Transfer RNA (tRNA) molecules are approximately 80 nucleotides in length. Lineage: Bacteria; Candidatus Nomuraibacteriota. The record is from RNAcentral.
GCGGGUGUAGUUUAGUGGUAGAAUGACUGCCUUCCAAGCAGUAGACAGGGGUUCGAUUCCCCUCACCCGCA